UCCGAUAUGGUGUAGUGGCCAACAUUCCGCGUUUUCAUAUCGAGAUCCGCGGCGCCCGGGGUUCGAUUCCCCGUAUCGGAG
This is a non-coding RNA of Diaporthe ampelina, 81 nucleotides long. The record is from Rfam. NCBI's taxonomy places the organism in Eukaryota, Fungi, Ascomycota, Sordariomycetes, Diaporthales, Diaporthaceae.